Molecule: ribosomal RNA, 443 nt
Filed under: uncultured bacterium
Lineage: Bacteria
Description: partial 16S ribosomal RNA
Rfam family: Bacterial small subunit ribosomal RNA
Source: RNAcentral
CCUACGGGAGGCAGCAGUGGGGAAUAUUGGGCAAUGGAGGCAACUCUGACCCAGCAACGCCGCGUGAAUGAUGAAGGUCCUCGGAUUGUAAAGCUCUGUGAUGGGGGAUGAACACAAUGACGGUACCCCAAUAGCAAGCCACGGCCAACUACGGGCCAGCAGCCGCGGUAAUACGUGGGGGGCAGGCGUUAUCCGGAAUGACUGGGCGAAAAGGGUGCGUAGGUGGUUUAGUAAGUUGGCGGUGAAAUUCCGGGGCUCAACCUCGGCGCUACCGCCGAAACUAUUAGACUAGAGUGCAGGAGGGGUAAGUGGAAUGCCUAGUGUAGCGGUGGAUUGCGUAGAUAUUAGGAGGAACAUCAGGGGCGAAGGCGACUUACUGGACUGUAACUGACGCUGAGGCACGAAAGCGUGGGGAGCGAACAGGAUUAGAUACCCUGGUAGUC